ACUCCUGCGGGAGGCAGCAGUGGGGAAUUUUGGACAAUGGGCGAAAGCCUGAUCCAGCCAUGCCGCGUGCAGGAUGAAGGCCUUCGGGUUGUAGACUGCUUUUGUACGGAACGAAACGGCCUUUUCUAAUAAAGAGGGCUAAUGACGGUACCGUAAGAAUAAGCACCGGCUAACUACGUGCCAGCAGCCGCGGUAAUACGUAGGGUGCAAGCGUUAAUCGGAAUUACUGGGCGUAAAGCGUGCGCAGGCGGUUAUGUAAGACAGUUGUGAAAUCCCCGGGCUCAACCUGGGAACUGCAUCUGUGACUGCAUAGCUAGAGUACGGUAGAGGGGGAUGGAAUUCCGCGUGUAGCAGUGAAAUGCGUAGAUAUGCGGAGGAACACCGAUGGCGAAGGCAAUCCCCUGGACCUGUACUGACGCUCAUGCACGAAAGCGUGGGGAGCAAACAGGAUUAGAAACCCCUGUAGUCCCAUG
Molecule: ribosomal RNA, 473 nt
Filed under: uncultured organism
Description: partial 16S ribosomal RNA
Rfam family: Bacterial small subunit ribosomal RNA
Source: RNAcentral